This 261-nucleotide ribosomal RNA is filed under the name uncultured archaeon. RNAcentral describes it as "partial 16S ribosomal RNA". It matches the Rfam family "Archaeal small subunit ribosomal RNA", at positions 748 to 1008 of the family's 1478-position model. The record is from RNAcentral.
UAGCCGUAAACGAUACUCGCUAGGUGUCGGCCACGGUGCGACCGUUGUCGGUGCCGUAGGGAAGCCGUGAAGCGAGCCACCUGGGAAGUACGGCCGCAAGGCUGAAACUUAAAGGAAUUGGCGGGGGAGCACAACAACGGGUGGAGCCUGCGGUUUAAUUGGACUCAACGCCGGGAAGCUCACCGGAUAAGACAGCGGAAUGAUUGCCGGGCUGAAGACCCUGCAUGACCAGCUGAGAGGUGGUGCAUGGCGUCAGUGACU